RNAcentral lists this ribosomal RNA (484 nucleotides) under uncultured bacterium. Its description in RNAcentral is "partial 16S ribosomal RNA". It matches the Rfam family "Bacterial small subunit ribosomal RNA", at positions 30 to 507 of the family's 1533-position model. The record is from RNAcentral.
AUUGAACGCUGGCGGCAGGCCUAACACAUGCAAGUCGAGCGGAUGAAGGGAGCUUGCUCCUGGAUUCAGCGGCGGACGGGUGAGUAAUGCCUAUGAAUCUGCCUGGUAGUGGGGGAUAACGUCCGGAAACGGGCGCUAAUACCGCAUACGUCCUGAGGGAGAAGGUGGGGGAUCUUCGGACCUCACGCUAUCAGAUGAGCCUAGGUCGGAUUAGCUAGUUGGUGGGGUAAAGGCCUACCAAGGCGACGAUCCGUAACUGGUCUGAGCGGAUGAUCAGUCACACUGGAACUGAGACACGGUCCAGACUCCUACGGGAGGCAGCAGUGGGGAAUAUUGGACAAUGGGCGAAAGCCUGAUCCAGCCAUGCAGCGUGUGUGAAGAAGGUCUUCGGAUUGUAAAGCACUUUAAGUUGGGAGGAAGGGCAGUAAGUUAAUACCUUGCUGUUUUGACGUUACCAACAGAAUAAGCACCGGCUAACUUCGUG